This 483-nucleotide ribosomal RNA is filed under the name uncultured bacterium. RNAcentral's name for it is "partial 16S ribosomal RNA". It matches the Rfam family "Bacterial small subunit ribosomal RNA", at positions 30 to 506 of the family's 1533-position model. The record is from RNAcentral.
AUUGAACGCUGGCGGCAGGCCUAACACAUGCAAGUCGAGCGGAUGAAGGGAGCUUGCUCCUGGAUUCAGCGGCGGACGGGUGAGUAAUGCCUAGGAAUCUGCCUGGUAGUGGGGGAUAACGUCCGGAAACGGGCGCUAAUACCGCAUACGUCCUGAGGGAGAAAGUGGGGGAUCUUCGGACCUCACGCUAUCAGAUGAGCCUAGGUCGGAUUAGCUAGUUGGUGGGGUAAAGGCCUACCAAGGCGACGAUCCGUAACUGGUCUGAGAGGAUGAUCAGUCAACAUGGAACGGGGACACGGUCCAACCCCCUAGGGGGGGCAGAAGUGGGGAAUAUUGGACAAUGGGCGAAAGCCUGAUCCAGCCAGGCCGGGGGUGGGAAGAAGGUUUUCGGAUUGUAAAGCACUUUAAUUUGGGGGGAAGGGCAGUAAGUUAAAACCUUGCUGUUUUGACGUUACCAAAAGAAUAAGCACCGGCUAACUUCGU